RNAcentral lists this ribosomal RNA (497 nucleotides) under uncultured bacterium. RNAcentral's name for it is "partial 16S ribosomal RNA". It matches the Rfam family "Bacterial small subunit ribosomal RNA", at positions 28 to 507 of the family's 1533-position model. The record is from RNAcentral.
GACGAACGCUGGCGGCGUGCCUAAUACAUGCAAGUUGAGCGCUGAAGGUUGGUACUUGUACCAACUGGAUGAGCAGCGAACGGGUGAGUAACGCGUGGGGAAUCUGCCUUUGAGCGGGGGACAACAUUUGGAAACGAAUGCUAAUACCGCAUAAAAACUUUAAACACAAGUUUUAAGUUUGAAAGAUGCAAUUGCAUCACUCAAAGAUGAUCCCGCGCUGUAUUAGCUAGUUGGUGAGGUAAAGGCUCACCAAGGCGAUGAUACAUAGCCGACCUGAGAGGGUGAUCGGCCACAUUGGGACUGAGACACGGCCCAAACUCCUACGGGAGGCAGCAGUAGGGAAUCUUCGGCAAUGGACGAAAGGCUGACCGAGCAACGCCGCGUGAGUGAAGAAGGGUUUCGGAUCGUAAAACUCUGUUGGUAGAGAAGAACGUUGGUGAGAGUGGAAAGCUCAUCAAGUGACGGUAACUACCCAGAAAGGGACGGCUAACUACGUG